Aedes albopictus (Asian tiger mosquito) is the source of this 58-nucleotide non-coding RNA. The record is from Rfam. NCBI's taxonomy places the organism in Eukaryota, Metazoa, Arthropoda, Insecta, Diptera, Culicidae.
UAGCCUAGUGGUUAAGGCUAUGGAUCGUCAAUUCGGAGACGGCGGGUUCGAUUCCCGU